Molecule: non-coding RNA, 1914 nt
Organism: Salmo salar (Atlantic salmon)
Lineage: Eukaryota; Metazoa; Chordata; Actinopteri; Salmoniformes; Salmonidae
Source: RefSeq, a predicted model, not a curated record
AUAGAAGCUUCUGCAUUAUAAUUGCUAUAUAACAAUCUAUAAAAUCCAUCAGUUGUGAAGCUGUGGAACCAAAAGAGAAGUGUUACUGGUUUUCAUUAACUAUACUAAACAAAAAUAUAAAGUGUUGUUCCCAUGUUUCAUGAGCUGAAAUAAAAGAUCCCAGAAAUUGUCCAUACACACAAAAAGCGUAUUUCCCUGAAAUCGUGUGCACAAAUUUGUUUACAUCCCUGUUAGUGAGCAUUUCUCAUUUUACAAGAUAAUCCAUCAACCUGACAGGUGUGGCAUAUCAAGAAGCUGAAUAAACAGCAUUACAUAGGUGCACCUUGUGCAGGGGAAAAAUGGCCACUUUAAAAUGUGCAGUUUGAUCACACAACACAAUGCCACAGAUGUCUCAAGUGUGCAAUUGGCAUGCUGAUUGCAGUCCAUUAAUUGGCAUGCUGAAUGCAGUGUUAAUUUCUUUACUGUUAGCCGCGUCCGGCAUUGUUUUAGAGAAUUUGGUGUUACGUCCAACCCGGCCUCACAAUCGCAGACCUCGUGUAACCACGCCAGCCCAGGACCUCCACAUCCGGCUUCUUCCCCUGCGGGAUUGUCGGAGACCAGCCGCCCGGACAGCUGAUGAAACUGAGGACCAUUUCUGUCUGUAUUAAAGCCCUUUUGUGGGGAAAACUCAUUUUGAUUGGAUUGGCCUGGCUCCCCAGUGGGUGGGCCUAUUGGAGGCCCGUGGCCAAACCAUAUUGUGGGCUCGAGUAGGAAAACAAAGGGGAGCUUGAGGGUAACUAUGUAAAAGCACGCUAAAGGAGCACUGGGUGUCUAUAGUUUGUCUUCUACCGAGAUAAAAUGCUGAACCACUGCUUUCAGUUAAGUGUUCAUCUUUAUUAAUUAAUUUGAACUGAAACCCUAUACCCGGUCAAUUAGAUAGGGAGGACCAGGAGUUUAUGAGAUUUUGGCGCACUUAUAAUAAAUAGUUUAACCCCGUCUUGGAACGUGUCUUGCGUGAACUGUGAGAAAUCACACAGUAAGAGCCACACCACGUAGUAAAAUGGUACAGAGCGGACUAUGAAUAAACAAUGGAUUGCUUGUUGGUGUUGUACACAAAAAUAGCCCCCACUGACGUGUAGUAUACCGUGUCACAACCUACCCCUGAAGUGUGAUCAGUAGGAAGGAGUGAGCUAACCUCUGUGGCAAGCAGGGAUAGACCAAGAGGGGUGACCCGGUUGAUAAAGUGGAGCUCAGGGCUCCACUGCUAGCUCAGCUCAGGGUAGGAAAAAACAGGGAAGUCGCCUCACCGGGAAAGAGGCUCAUUCAGCGGGAUAAUCCAGGCAUAAAACGUGCAGUGGGAGUUGACCCACCCUGUGAGGUAAAGAGAAAGGGAAGGGAAGGGAAAGGGAAAGGGGGAUUCUAGUCAGUUGUACAACUAAAUGCAUUCAACUGAAAUGUGUCAGAAGAUCCACAAGCAAAGACUACCCUCGCGUGAAUGAAGCUAGUAGGUCCGUCAGGGAGACGGCCCAUACUAGUCACCUCGACAUUACUUCUCCGUGCAAAGUACUAGAAUAAAACUACUUGAAGGACCCUGACAGAGAUAUGGGCCUUCGGAAGAUACAACCGUAGUCCAAGGCAGGAGUUGGCAGGAAAUGUCCAUACAUCCACGUUGAGGCCUGCUACAGGCAGGAACAUGGAGCACUCCAUGUCAGUGUCAAGAGAAUAUUCCAGAGCCUUCUGACUAACUACCGGAGAUCUCUCCAAAACAGAUAAGUGAGUCUGCUGGGCCAUGGAACUCUAGAGCAGCACAUAAAAAACCUUCCCACCUGUUACCACCUAUCAGCAGACAGUUCCCUGAGGAAGGAUGCAACUCUCAAGGACAAUGAACAAAUUUGGUGGAUGAUCACCAAACGGAAUAAAGUUUUGUAUAAACUA